GAAUGCCUUGAAUUUUGAAUUUCCGACUCAGGAUUUGUUUCCUUCCAUCACCAAAUGGAAGGGCUAACCAAGGCAUUUCUGAAUAGAACUCGUCAAAGGUGGUUUGAUCGCUGUCACUUGAGAUGAAGAUCACCUCAAAUGCAUUGUCUUUUGCUUUAAUUGCGUGGUAUGCUUCAAUUAGCUUGGGUAAAAAGGCACGACAAGGAGGGCACCAUUGAGCUGAGAAGUAAAGAAGAAUGUUCUUUCCAACUAGAUCGGACACUGGGACCUAAUCAAAGAGUAAACCAUUUGAAUGAUAAAAAAAACCUUUGCUAAUGAAUUCAAUUCGUGAUAAUAAGAAAGUUAUUGAAAGUAAUGCAAUAACAACAUGCGAGGUUAGCAUAGAACAAAAAAAAUUACCUUGGAGCCACUUUUGCCAAUCACAAAAUCAUUUUCCCCAUUAACCAAAACUGACUCAAGCGUCUGCGAUUCCAGUUUUGCCUUUUCAAUUGCAGCUAGCUCGUCAAGCUUUUCCGGUGUAAAUGGGUAGGCUUCGAUACCAUGUUCUUCGAUUAGUUCAGCUACAUUUGGGUUCAAAGUCUUCCCAUCUUGGCCAAUUAUAACAAGAUUAGGAAUGGUUCUAAGUUCAAAAUACCGCACUAGCUUCUCGCAGCUCUUGUCCUUCAAUGGCAAUGCCAACCAAGGCAUUGUCUCAAAACUCUCUUUGAAGUCUUCUUCUUCGUCGUCUAGAGAUACUAGGACUACUUCAAAGUUCUCUCCUUUUUCCUUGAGCGUCUUAUACAAUUCCACUAGUUUAGGAGUGAAUUCACCGCACAUCCUAUGAGCAUGGACUGAAAAAUACAAGCCAACCAAUUUUCCUUCAAGGUCCAACACAGGGAUCUGCCAUUACAGAUAGCAAAAAUGUGAAUUAUGGCAUCAUCAAUUCAAUUUCAAAACUAGCUAAUUGAAUGAAGCAUCUACCUUUUUUCCAUCAUUUGAAAUCACAUAAUCACGUGAGCUUGAAACCAAGAUAGAGCUUAUGGUUUGAUUCUUCUUAGCAUUCUCUUCUUGCUCUUUAAGGAAAUUCAGUCUAUCAAGGUUGAACGGAUACCCAUCCACGCCAUGUUCCUUGACAGUGCUGACUCCAUUAUCGCAGGAAACCUUACCAUUAGUAUCAAAAAUGACAAGUCUAGGGAUCCCUCUUACUUUGAACAAUUCCUUAAGACGUUGGCGGGUCUCGGUUUCAGAGAAGGGAAUAGCAAGCCAUGGCAUUUCGGAGAAGUACGUGUUGAAGGAUUCAUCGUCUCCAUCAGAAGAAAUGAAGACCACCUCAAAGCCCCCUUUGGAUGAUAGGUGUUCAUAGACUUCUACCAACAAUGGAGUGAAAUUACGGCAUGGGCCGCACCACGAACCAGAGAAAUAGAAUCCCACAAUCUUCCCAACCAAAUCGCUGACCUUGACCUAAAAAUUAAGAUCAGAAAAAAACAUCAGCCCUUGACGAAUCAAAAUCUUAUUCAUGGUUUCUUUCUCUUGCCAGUGAGAGAAGCAACAAAAAAAAGAGCCUUUUCUUAAUCAUAAAAGCUUCAGAAAUUGGUCAUAAAUUUGUUCUUCAGCAAGGCUUGCAGUCUAAUUUAAACAUGAUAUUCAUCUUAAUUACUAGAAAAACCUACAAGUUCAUAUAAAAAAAGACGUCAACUUAUAAUAAGGCAAGAAGAAGUAGACUUGAAUAAGAUCAGAUCGAGGAACUCAUAUGCUAAAAGCAGUACCUGAUCACCAUUGUUGCGGAUGAGAAAGUCCCUCUCUUCUGAAGAAAGAAGCGUUGAAAGGUCGAGGGAAACGUCUUCGGUGGCCAUAGUUAGCUAUGUGAUGAACUACUCAAAAGGCUAGAACAAUUGCCAAUCCCAGUUGCUAUGUAAUGGAACUUCCAGGCUAAGGCUCCUUUAAAUUACCUACACGCCCGGCCUAGGAAAUUAUUGUUCUAAUAAUUCAACGACGACUUCAAGACUUGGCUGGCGUCGGGUGAUGACGAAGACAUUAUGACGUAGGUCUGCUGAAGUGGUAUUCGCAUUAUCACGUGCUUCUACAACUCUCCUCUUGCUUUUUUUUUUUAAUCUCCUUUUUUUGUUUUUGUUUGUAUUCUAGUUUUAUCCAUGGUUUAAUAAUUUUUUUUGUGAGUUUGUUAUUAAAUGUAUUUUGUGUUUUAUCUUUUUAAUAAAAUCUUUAUAUUUCUUGAUACAAAAAAAUCCUUAAUUGGUUUUUUUAAUUAAAAAAUUAUUCUCUUUUGUUUUUGAUGCAUUUGAAAAUGAAUUUUUCUAUCAAUUUUUUUUCUAAUAUAAAUCAAUAAUCAUAUGUAAAGCAUAGUUGAAAUGAAUGAACGAACAAACAAACUAUAUACAUGACAUCUUACAUAGGAAGCUUAGGAAAGGAUGAAGGCCAAGAAUAAUGUAAAAUAAAACCUAUGCCUCCACUACCAAUAAUGUAAAAAUAAUUAUUGAGAAAAAUAAAUCAUAAAAAUAUACUUCCAGCUCUAGUCAUCCAAAGCUUCUUAAGUCUCAGAAAAAAAAAACAUUUAACACAAACCUCAAUAAAAUUCAAAUGCUAAUUAAAUUCAGAUUUUUGUAACGUAGUCUAUUUUCUAUCAAAUGUGACUUGAUAAUAAUCACAUGCAAUUUAAUAGACAGGCUAAAAUCCAAACUUGAUAUAGUUCUUGGGUUAUAAUAGAGUUUUUCAAUAAUAAAACUCUUAACUUUUUUUUUAUUUUAAAAAUAAUGAUAUUGCAUAUAUUUAAUAAUUAUAAAUAAAAUUAUAUUGUGUAUUUGAGCCACGUCAGGACUCUAUUUCAAUAAAGAGACCCUAUUUUUCCAGGGGAGAAAGAAAGAGUUUUUAAAUGCAAUACUUUGUCAUAAGUCGUGACUUUUCCACACUCAAAAGGGCACCAUACAUAUAUGUCAUUAUACUUUAUCUCCAAACGUAAUUAAAUUAGUCAAUUAAUUGUAAGUGAGGGAAGUUAAUGAAUUUCCACUCUAAAAUGUUCAAAUUCAUUAUCCGUUUUCAACUUUAUCCUGAUUAAAUCAGGUUAAGUAGAUUACUUUCUUCAUUCGUGGGUAUCCAUCAGAUAUCCUAAUCUAUUUUUUAAUUAAUUUUAUAAAAAUCAAACCUAAACUAAAAAAACAAAAUAAUGCUUUAUUUAUGAAUCAUAAAACUAUGAAAUUAAAUUAAAUAUAAAACCAAGAGAUCUGGUUAGUUUAGUGUUGUUGCAAUGUGAAUAAAAACUCAAAAUAUCACGGAUUGAAAUAGUGUUCUAGUUAUUUUUUGAAAUUUUUUUCAUUAUAGUUACCAAACACUUUUUAAAAUUUCUUUUAUCUUUGACAUUUCAUUAAUAGAGAAUUUGGACUUAUUGGUUGGUUUUGAUUGGUUUUCUAUAAUUUUUUUUUUGAAAAAUUAAAUGUCAUUAUAUUAGAGUGAUGUUCGAUUUUACAAAAUAGAAUCCUAUUUUAUUGCAUACAAAAAUUUAAGACUUAGGGGGGCCAAAAUUGAUAGUUAGCAAUGUUAAAGAAUCAUCUUAACCCAAUAGCUUAAGUUUUCAAGUGACGUUCCAAGAUAUGAUUUAUACUAUUCUCUAACACAUCCCCUCAAGUAAAAGCUCUUUGGUCUUGAAAUUUGCACAGACUCACAUUAUUUUGUGCUUAAUUUUUAUCAAAUAAAUAGGGAUGGUGAGAUUCGAACUCGUGACCGCUUGGUUAUCAAGGCUCUGAUACCAUGUCAAAGAACCUUCUCAACCCAAUAGCUUAAGCUUUCAUGUGAGGUCCCAGAAUAUAAUUUAUAUUAUUCUCUAACAAGUAAGAAUUUAAGGUUUUUUUAUUUGAUAAAUGUUCAUUUCACAUCAUUUUACUUUGAAAAAUUUAUAUUUUGAUCCAAAACUCUAUUUUAAUCACAUUUCAGACUAUGAGUUUUAGAAAAAAGAUAAAAAUUCAUUAAAAAUAGCGAAAGAGAGAGAAACACAUACACUGACAAGGUUUUGUUUGUGAAAAUAGCUUAAAUGUGUGUCAAUGUGUUAUUCUUGACAAAAAGAGUGCUACUAUAAUGUUUUUAAGCUUUAUAUUGUCAAAAAAGAUAAAUCGAGGUUGAGAGAAUUAUUUUUAAGUUAAACUUUGUGUUUUAAAAUUAUUUUAGAGUUUCUUUUUAGUUGAUGGAUUAGUUUAGAGACAAUUUAAAAGUAUUUAUAAGAUGUUUUUAAAUAAAAAUAUAUUAAAAAAUAGAAUUUUAAAUAAAAAACUCCAACCCAAUUCUUUAACCACUUCUCUAUUAUAAAAAAAAUAUAAAGCAAAUGAUGUGACAAAAAAAUAAAUCAAGCAAAUGAUUGUCAUUUGUUUUAUUAAAAAAAAAAAUAAAGGACAAAUACUAUGUCAUCCAUCAAAGAUAAAAUAAAAUGGCUCUUUCAUCUUUUGGAUAAGCAUGCCGAGUCACUUGGCCCCACAAACAUGGCUUGUUUCUAGCUUCUUUUUUUUUUUUUAUGAAUCUUUAUCCUUGAAUUUUAAUUUUAUUUCAUUAAAAUUAAUUAUUUAAAAACACAUAAGGAUAUUAUUUUAGUAAAUACUUGAAUUAUUAAGAAUAUAUACGAAAUAUUAUUUUAUUAGAUAUCAUUUAAUUUUUAUUUUAUUUUAAAAUAAAAUUAUAAUAUUCAUUAUAUAAUAUUAGUAAGAGAUGUUUUUUGGACAACCUAUCAUGAUAUUCCUUAUCUUUGCACAUUCGGUGUCAGAGACUAUAAUAAUAGAUUCCAUGGAAAACAUUAAGGGUAAGAUUCAAUUAUUAAAUGAUAAUCGACUAAAAUAGUGUUUGGAGCCGAUCUGUAUUUUUUAAAAAUUCAAAAUUAUUUUUAUUAAAAAUUAAUUUUUUUUUAUAUUUUGGAUCGUUUUGAUGAGCUGAUUUCAAAAAUAAUUUAAAAAAAUAUCAUUUUGAUGCAUUUCAGAAUAAAAAAUACUUUGAAAAGCAAUCGUCACCAUACUCCCAAACAAGAAUUAAGAACAUGUUUAAAAAUGUAGUAGAUGAUGAGUUUUAAAAUAUUUUUUACUCGAAAAUAUAUUAAAAAAUAUAUAUAUUUUUUAAUUUUUUAAAAUUUAUUUUUAACAUCAAUACAUUAAGACAAUUCAAAAACACUAUAAAAAAAAAUAAAUUUUAAACAAAUAAUACUUUGCCCCAUUUAACUAUAAACAAAAUCAUCGUAUUCUUAAUCUAUUUGUCACAUCAUGAAACAUGAUGAUCAUUAACUGGCAAACACAACACCAACACCAUUACGUAGAAAUCAAGUAUGAAGGGCUCGUAAAUCUAGUCGAUAUAUGUAUAAAUUAGCCCGAACAUUCACAUUAAUAAAAACAAAAAAUCAUGUGUGACACUUAAAAUUUAUCAUAACAAAUUGAUCAAAUUAUAAAGUAAUCCCUAUAUUUUUAAGAAAUUAAUAGCUCACUCCCUUUUUUUAAAAUAAGCCAUAUUUUACCUCCAUGUUAUCAUUUCCAUUUACUGUAACUUAGUUCUUCCUUUAGUUUUACAUUAUAAAAGUGCUAAACCAUUACUUUAGGUAUUAGUGAAAAAAAAAAAAAAGUAUCUAUUAACGGAUUGACGGUCAAAGCUUCUCAAUUGAGUAACUUUUUGGUUUUUAAAAACAGAAGGACUAACAUAUUGGUUUAUUGAGAAUAUGAGGAUUCAAUUAUAAUUUACUUCAGGAAACAAAUAUGAUGCUAUUGACAUCCCCACAAGUGAACUGGCACAAUUAUUGUUUAUAUAAAAUUUCAAAAUUAUUUAUUCUUAAUUUUAACAUUUUAUUUUUAAAAUUUUAUUGUAAUGAAGUGACAGAGUAUGCUAAGAGUAUACCAAAAUAAAACACUGUUGUUUUAAUAUAAAAAUUAAUUUACAGGUUGACUGGAUAGCCUUAUAACCUAGAUGUUUUUCGAAGUUAGUUUUGAAUGAAUGGAGUGUUAUUAGUUAGUUCAGCGUGAUAAUUGGACUGAAAAUCUUUCGUUCUAAAUUAUCAACCAUUCAGAAUUGUUUUGUGCGUGAGGAUGCCAAAUUACCAAAACUAAACCCUAUUUAUAAUCCAUCACCUAUCAAUAGUGAUGUAAGAGUUCCAGCUUGUUUUCUGCAGCUGUGCCAAAACCUGGAGGGUCUAUACUAGCCCAGCAGUCCUUCCCCCGUCGUAAGGUAAGAGCCCAGCACCAGCAGUGUCCUUCCUCCGUCGUAGAGGGGUCCAUACACGAGAUGGCCAGAGAUAGUCAGUGAUUUCGAAAUAUUCCUUUUCAGACUGCAACAAUUGAUAAGGUUUUGUGGCUGUCAUGGCGAAGGCAAAUUAAAGCACAUGAGAUUCAGUGGUGAGAAGCUAUGGAAAGUGGCAAAAAGAAACAGCGAGAACAUGAAACACGCAUUUGAACAUGAAAAAGUAAAUAAGCUGAACAUAAUUAAUGGGCCAUAGAAGCGAAGGUUUUUUCAAUGGCUUCAAACUUUUUGGCAGCGUGCUUGAUUGUUGUCGCCGAAUUUCUUGGCAGUGUGCUUGCUUGAAUUGCGGAUGUAUCACAUGGAUGAUAUUUUCGUUCUUUUGAGGCAUCAAAUAAUAUGGUGUCACGAGAAUUAAGCAAAUAGAAAAGCAUUAAAUUUACGGAAAUCUUUUCCUGUGGUCUUGGUGUAGUUGUUGGCUUUGCUAGCUUCUCCAAGCUCACCACUAAUCCUAUCUGUCCUUUGCGUCCCAUGAACUGAUACAAGCAAUAGCCUGCCCGUGAUUCUGGUUUAAUUGAUUGCAGACAUGUUCAUCAACAAACGCAGGUGUCCGCCCUCCAAAUAACUGCCAUGAACCCAGUUUCCACCUGCUGGGAUUUCAUUUGUCUUUCUUAGUUCUGAGUUCGAAUUAAUGCUGCUUUCUUGAUUCUGAAAUCCGCCUCAACAAGUUAUUUGAGAAGGCAAAGAGGGGGGAAAAUGACUAUCCAGUUGCUUGGAUUGGAAAUUCUAGUUUCUUUUACGGUGGAGUUACAAUGGUUUCAUUGUAUAAUGCUGGUUAAGUCACAAUCAGCCCAGUUUUUGUAUUUAAUCAGCAUUACAAUUACAGGAAUAUUUGCUCAAAUGGGUCACAGGAUUCACAAAAACACAGAGAGCUGUUUAUUUAUUUUUCGUAUCCAAAUACAGGACAUGAAAACCCUUUCAGCCUCACACUUCUUAGAUACAUAACGACAUCAGGAGAGACAUCCCCACUAUAUUCACACACAUGCAACAAACAUCUUCCAUUGCAUACUCACUACAGCAGAAAGCCCAUAAAACCAGACACAAGCAGCGCUUGCCUGCUUAAGCUCUGCGGCACACAUCUCCAUCGCAGACCCAUCCUUCCUUUCCCUUUUCAGUUCCAGUAUCUUCAUCUUCCUUCAAAGCACACUUAGGGUGAAGAUCAAAGUCACAUUGUUUGCAAUAGAAAGACCACCUAUAUCCCGUUUCCCCACAGCCAUCGCAACCGUAUGCACUGCGUUUAGUACGUAUCAGCUCAUGCUCAGUAUGAAGUUCGUGUUUCACUUUCUCUGGCCACCCCUUUGCCUUUUCCUCAAGCUCCUCCUCCAAUUGCUUUAGAUGUUCCUCGGUAAAUGGAAAAGCAUCUGCCCCGUAAGCUGUCAAGUGCAUCCGAGCUUCCUUGGUAAUGGUCCGGCCACUUGGGCCAAUCGCUACAGCUGCAGGAAUGCCUUGAAUUUUGAAUUUCCGACUCAGGAUUUGUUUCCUUCCAUCACCAAAUGGAAGGGCUAACCAAGGCAUUUCUGAAUAGAACUCGUCAAAGGUGGAUUGAUCUCUGUCGCUUGAGAUGAAGAUCACCUCAAAUGCAUUGUCUUUUCUUUUAAUUGUGUGGUAUGCUUCAAUUAGCUUGGGUAAAAAGGCACGACAUGGAGGGCACCAUUGAGCUGAGAAGUAAAGAAGAAUGUUCUUUCCAACUAGUUCAGACACUGGGACCUAAUCAAGAGCAAACCAUUUGUAUAAUAUAAAAAACCUUAGCUAAUGAAUUCAAUUCGUGAUAAUAAGAAAGUUAUUGAAAGUAAUGCAAUAACAACAUGCGAGGUUAGCAUAGAACAAAAAACAUUACCUUGGAGCCACUUUUGUCAAUCACAAAAUCAUUUUCCCCAUUAACCAAAACUGACUCAAGCGUCUGCGAUUCCAGUUUUGCCUUUUCAAUUGCAGCUAGCUCGUCAAGCUUUUCCGGUGUAAAUGGGUAGGCUUCAAUACCAUGUUCUUCGAUUAGUUCAGCUACAUAUGGGUUCAAAGUCUUCCCAUCUUGGCCAAUUAUGACAAGAUUAGGAAUGGUUCUAAGUUCAAAAUACCGCACUAGCUUCUCGCAGCUCUUGUCCUUAAAAGGCAAUGCCAACCAAGGCAUUGUCUCAAAACUCUCUUUGAAGUCUUCUUCUUCGUCGUCUAGAGAUAUUAGGACUACUUCGAAGUUCUCUCCUUUUUCCUUGAGCGUCUUAUACAGUUCCACUAGUUUAGGAGUGAAUUCACGGCACAUCCUAUGAGCAUGGGCUGAAAAAUACAAGCCAACCAAUUUUCCUUCAAGGUCCAACACAGGGAUCUGCCAUUACAGAUAGCAAAAAUGUGAAUUAUGGCAUCAUCAAUUCAAUUUCAAAACUAGCUAAUUGAAUGAAACAUCUACCUUUUUUCCAUCAUUUGAAAUCACAUAAUCACGUGAGCUGGAAACCAAGAUAGAGCUUAUGGUUUGAUUCUUCUUAGCAUUCUCUUCUUGCUCUUUCAGGAAAUUCAGUCUAUCAAGGUUGAACGGAUACCCAUCCACGCCAUGUUCCUUGACAUGUCUAACUCCAUUAUCGGAGGAAACCUUACCAUUAGUAUCAAAAAUGACAAGCCUAGGGAUCCCUCUUACUUUGAACACUUCCUUAAGACGUUGGCGGGUCUCCGUAUCAGAGAAGGGAAUAGCAAGCCAAGGCAUUUCGGAGAAGUAUGUAUUGAAGGAUUCAUCGUCUCCGUCAGAAGAAAUGAAGACCACCUCAAAUCCCCCUUUGGAUGAUAGUUGUUCAUAGACUUCUACCAACAGUGGAGUGAAAUUACGGCAUGGGCCGCACCACGAACCAGAGAAAUAGAAUCCCACAAUCUUCCCAACCAAAUUACUGACCUUAACCUAAAAAUUAGUGUCGAGCAUAAUCAGAAAAAAAACAUUAGCCCAUAAAUUAAGAGGGUAAACAAAAACUGAGGCUUUUCUUAAUCAUAAAAGCUCUAGAAAUUGGUCAUAAACUUGUUCUUCAGCAAGGGUCGCACUCUAAUUUAAACAUGAUAUCCAUCUUAAUUACGAGAAAAAGUUUAAUAAGACAAGUAGAAGUAGAUCGCAUAAGACCAGAGAAAUCCAUAAGCUAAAAGCAGUACCUGGUCACCAUUGUUGCGGAUGAGAAAGUCCCUCUCUUCCGACGAAAGAAGGGAUGAAAGGUCGUGCGAAACGUCUUCGUUGGCCAUUGUUAAGUGAUGAACUACUCAAAAUGCUAUAACAAUUGCCGAUUCCAAACGCUAUUUAUUGGGACAAACUGGGAUGGUUCCUUCUAAGUUACUUGCACAGCACGCCGAGUGAACUAUCAGACGUCAACGAUGACAUGUAAAUUUGGAUGGUGAUGACAAAAACAUCAUUCUCCUUAUCUAAAUACCAGCAGGUUCGAGAAACUGGUAUUAAACAUGCUUUCCCACGUGCAACACACCUCCUCUGGCUUUUUUUAUUUAAAAAGAAAAAGAAAAAGAAAAAGAAAAAGAAAAAGAAAAAACAUAUAUUUUUUUUAAUUUCUCUCUCUUUUAUUUUUUUAGUCACUCUUCACUUUUUACCUUUUUUUUUUUUUUCAAGAAUCUGAAUUCUAGGUUUCUUCUUUAAUUAUAAAAAACCUCUUAUGAUUUGAUUAUGUGAAAUUAUACUUUAUAUUUUUUAUCAAAUAAAUUUUUUUAAAUUGAUAAAAUAUCCAAAUUGUCUUUAUCUAUAAUAUAUGAGAAAAUCAAUUGAAUAAUAGAUCAUAUACUCACACUCUCUUUCUUGUCCUACUUUCUCUCUCUACAAAUCAUAUUCUCUCCCUUCUUUGACAACUAUUAUCAUAAUUUGUUUAAUCGGUCUGUUUUUUGUUCUCGUUUUGUGGGGAGUUCCUUCCUUUUCAUGUUUAGAACUCGACGAAGUUGGAAUCUUUUUCAUUGUUGUUAGUCCAAAGAUCACUAUUACAUAUGGUUUUAGUAAUUUUAAUGAUCACAACAAUUUAGUGAAUUUAAUAUGUAUAUGAAGAUUUGAUAUUAUAAGGAUUUUUCUACUAUGUCAAAUUAGAGCAAAAUAGAUUCUUUGGAUGUAAACUUAACUUUGGAUGCCUAAACUUAGAGUUAUGUAAUCAAGUCUUUACAUAAUUUAAUUUUUCACACAAAAAUGAUUUUUAUCCAAAAAGAUUCUUUAUUAUUGAAUUUUUACAUAUUGAAAAAUAGUUUACGAGAAAAUCUUUCAUAAAAUAUUUCAGAUUGUUACUAAAUUUUUUUUAGAAUGAAAAGUAUAAACUUAAUUAAAUGAUUUCUUGUGUUUUGAUCACACUAAACAUUUCUUGUUCAUUUUCAACUAAGUGGGUAGCUAAGUGAGUUGUGACUUUUCCAUACUCAAAAGUGCAUAAUACAACUAUGUCAUUCUACUUUGCUAAACACACCAAGCAUGUUUAAAUUUCUCAUUUAGCAAUAAUCAAUGGAAGGUAAUAAAAUAAGUUGGAUUUGAGUUUUACUUAAUUGUUCCAUCUAAAACAUCCAAAUUCAUUAUCCAACUCUGACCUAAUUAAAUUAGGUUAAAUCGGGGAUGAAAAAGUUUUUUUUUCAAGUUAAAUUUUAUGUUUUAAAACCAGUUUAGGAGUUUUUUGAGUUGACAGUAGGGGUUUUUUUUUGUUCGGUUUGGUUUUGGGAAAAAAAAAGAUAACUUCAUUGAAAUUUACUUUUUUAAGGUUUUCAACCCGAAAUCAGUUCAAAGCUAUCGGGUGCGGCUUGGUUCAGUCUUUUUUGUUUCAAAACUUGUUCAGAUCGACAUUAUUUCAAUUGAGAGUUUUUAUAAGCCUCGCUUUUUAGGUUUUUAUUACAAUGGAUCCAAGUUAUUUUUACUAUUUUUGGGUUUUUCAAGAUUUGUUUUGAAUUUUUUCAUAAAAGGUUUGAGUUGUUUUAUUACAAAGGCUUUUCAUGCCUAUAAAUAAUUAUAUGAAUUUUUACUUCAAUAUAAACAUACAUAGUUGAUGCGAAUUCGGAGAGUAAAACCCCUUGAACCCUCACACAAGAAAAAAAAUCCAAGAAAGCUAAAAUCAAGUUGAAAAGAACCCAACCUAGUGGUUAUCUAAACUAAAGAAUCAUAGUUAUUGGAUGAAAAAACUUAACCCAAUAAUUAUAAUGAACCACUAACUAAAGGUAUAAGGAUGAAACCCCAACCCGUUAAAUAUUGUAAUAAAUAACGAACUAAGAACUAUAGGUGUAAGGAUGGAUAUCAUAAAGAGAGUUGAUCUUUGAUAAGUUUUUUAAAAAGUUCCAUGAGGAACCAAGAGUAUAAGUAAACUCUUUCACACACAAUAAUAUUCUGAAUAAUCAAUCCGUCUCAAAUUAUUAAAAAAAACUAAAUAUAAGUUAAAUAACCAUAUUUAUACUAGGUAAAAUAAAAAAUGCUAAAAAAAUAACAAAAGAGUUCUAAAUGAAAUAGAAGAAAGAAUUCUAAAUUAAUUGAGAAACUAAUGCAAUUCUUGUAUAGUAGCUUUUGAUCUUUAUCGUAAGGCCUUAUCAAUAUUUAAUUGCUAUUAUAUUUCAACUCCAUAUAAAACAAGGAUUUUAGAAUCAUUAAGAAAAUUUGAAGCCCAAUCCACAUGUAAGCAGGAAAAUAAGUUGAAUCCGUAAGUCCUAUAGAAAAUAAAACUCAAAUAUCUUGAAAUAAUCACUAAAUAUUUCUUUAACCUUCUUAGCUCAUAACCUGGCACAUGUAAUUAAUCAUAUGGUAUUGCUUGAUGGUUUUAACAACAAUGCUUCAAUUCAUCCAAAUUAAUAACAAAAAAAGUAAAUGAAAUCUAAAAAGCUACUCUCCAUGAAAAGAUGACAAAAAAAGCUUUCAUCAAAAUCUUAACCAUCUCAUAAUUAUCACUCAUAAAUUAUCACAACAAGUAGCUCCCUAGUUUUCAAUAUUCGUAAUUAAUGAGUCAAUAUUCGUAAUUAUCACUCAUAAAUUAUCACUCAUGGUUUAUAAGGUGUUUUAUAGGUGUUUUGGGUCAAAACAGGUUUUUAGGUCAAAUGAGCAUAAACUCUGAUUUUCCGACAACCACAAUGGCUAGAACCUGGGCAAAACAGGUGUACAUGACUGUCACACCCAAGAGCAUUAAUUGGGUUUGGCAGUCAUGCCAAAUCCAAGGCACUUGGGGCAAGCAGUCAUAAAAGACUUAAGCGUCUUGGGUCAGGCAAGGAUUGAGUCUGACAGCGUUACCCUUGGGUCUGACAUGGUUGCCUGCCUAAGCACCUUGGGUCAGGCAUGGAUUGAGUGUGGCAGGCAAGCCAGACCCAAUCCAUGGGUUUGGUAUGGUUGCCAUCAUAGUUAUCAGACUCGGCUUGACCCUGCAGGUCAACUCAGGACCCGGGUGACCUAGGGCCUUAGCUAGGUAUAUUUCAUUUAAAAUUCAGGCCUGCAAUUGACCUAGAUAAAACCGGUCAUCUUGUCGGAUUAACCCAGAACUCGGGUGACCCAGUAAAACCCGGUAAAGACCUGUUUUUUUUUUUUCAAAUAUAUUUUUUCUCUUAGCCAGAGACCCAUUUUUUUUUAUAUUUUUUAGUUGUUUAUAACUCAUUUCAAAGUUCACUAUAUAAAUACUAGAAGAAUGUUUUUAUUUUUUCAAAGUAAGUUUUGAAGCCCUUUAGUAUAUAUAUUCUAUGUUCACAAUAAAAGGUUAUGUUUUUUCAAUGUGGGAUAAAAAACCUUUUUGAUUUAAAUAUUUCAACUUAAAAUAAUAUGAUAGUAUCUUGCAAAUGUGGGAUAAAAAACCUUUUAAAAUAACAUUUUAAACUUAAUUAUUUACAACAUGUAUAACCCAUAUCCACAUAGAUUAUUUCUUAAUUUUUUUCAUAUGAAAUAUUAAAACCUCAAAUAUUAUUUUAAAAUUUUUCUAAAUUGACCCGAGUCAGCCCGUGUAACCUGGGUCUCGGCUCCUGGGCCGGGUCAACCCUUGGGCCGAGUUUGAUAAUUAUGGAUGCAAUAAAAAUAUAACUUCAAAGAAUACAAUUAAAAAAAAAUAAAGUGACGUGACCGGUUAAAAAAAUAAAAACUGAAAAAAUGCAUAGAACCUCUUUUUUUUUUUUUGUUCAAGGAGCCUCUUUUAAAUAAUAUUGAUUUUUUUGUUACGUGUUUAAUUUUCGGAAUAGUUUUUUUGGUUCAUCUAUAGUUUUGUUUUUAUUUUUUAUAUAGAUAAACUGUGUUUUUGAAAAUAAAAAAUGUUUAUUUUUAGAUGAUAUUUUUAAUAUGAGUAGUUUUACAUGUUAUUUUUUUUAAAAAAAUUAUUCAAUUAAUUUAAUGUCUUAUUUUUCAAGAUUCAAUAUAUUGAUCUACAUUUGUCUCUCGGUUUUCUAAGUUUUGUUUUAAGAUGUCAUUAAUGAUUUUUUAUUGAUUUAUUAGCGCACGUAAUUCUUAGUUUAUUUGAUUACUUGUGUGCAUCAACUUUUUGAUUUAUUAUAUUUUUUGAAGUAUCAAAAUGCAUUGAAAAAACCUGCAUAAAUAAUGUUUUAUGAAAAAUAAAAAUAUCUAACUUGCAGUGAAGCACAUGACACGUAGCUAGCAAGUUCUAUAAAAUGAGUUAGCAAAGUAGAAAACAAACUUGUAAUAGAUUUGUGCACAUUGCCAUUUCACCAUAAGUUACAUUAGCUCUCAAAACUUUUACAUUAGCUCUCAAAACUUUUACAUUGAAACUUAUAAUACUAGAACUAACAAAACAUACUAGCAGAAAUAUAGUAAGCUUGCAACAAAAUAAGAAUCAAGACAUCAAAUUUCCUUUGUGCCUUUGAAACAUAAAAUGUAAAUUAUUAGGGCACAAUUAAUAAUAACUUAUAGGAAAUAAUUAAUCUACAUCAAAUAUGCUAAAUAACAUAAAUCAACUUUGUCAAACAUAAUUAUUGUGAACAUUGAUUUUUUUUUUAGCCCUGUUUGUUUCAUGAAAAAUGGUUUUUUAGAAAUUAUUUUCCAAACUUUUCUGUGUUUGUUUGUCAUUAGAAAAAUUGAUCAACGAAAAACACUUUACAAUAAAAGAAAAAUUUAGCUUGGUUUCUAGGAAAUUAUUUUCCUUUUAUUUUAGGUGGAAAAUACUUUUUAGAAGUUGUGAAAAUUUAGAAAUGUCUUGUUAUAUGCUGAUUAUAUCAAAUUUGAUCCUCAAACUUUUAAUUGUUAUAUAUUUUGUUUUGAUUUUUUUCUUUCAAUUUCAACCCUUAGAAUUUGAUUUAAUUUGAUUUUUAUAUCAAUCUUGGUCUUUAUUUUUAUAAUUGUUAUUUGCUUUUCUCUUAUCAUUUUUAAUUGAAAUUUUUUUAUCUAUCAAAUCUGGUCCUCAUUCUUUUGAUUGUUAUUUACUUUAUUUGAAAUAAUUUUUAAAAUUGUAAUUUUUUUUAAUUUCAUCCUCUUUCAACUUUUUUAUUUGUUAGAUUUGAUCUCUAUUAUUUUUAUUGUUAUUUAUUUUAUUUGAGAUAUUUUAUGAAAUUAGAUUUUUUUUUAAUUUUAUUAUCAUUCAACUUUUUAAUUUGUAAGAUUUGUUCCUUAUUAUUUUAAUAAACUUGAAAAAAAAUUAACAAUUUAUUUUUCAGUUUAUUUUUUAUGACAUAGUCAAAUACUUAAAAAUAUUUUUUAAUAUAUUUUUUAUGAUAUUAUCAAAUAUCAAAAUAUAAUUUACUUUUUAAAAAUUUAAUUUUCAAGAAAAUUACCUUUUUUAAAAAAUAUAUGUUUUUAGCAAACAAAAGGGUUAAUGUUAAUUUUUUUAUAUAUGACAUGGGGUAGAGUGCAAGCCAGCUAGCCGGAUAGUCUUUGGUGGAUAUUCUUUAGGACUUGGAGGGAAUAAACACAAAAGGUACGAUUUUUUUUAGAUGGAAAUCUGAGCUUUAUUGACCAUAUAUGUCUUGCCAGGUGGCUUCUUGUCUUUCCUUAACUGUCAUGUCUCAUUUGAUAAUUAGGAAUUCCUGGCAGGGCUGCUUUAUUUUAUUGUUAUAUUAGUUUGGUUUUGUGUUUUUUUAAUGAAGUUGGUGGGUCCAGAAACACUCAUUUGGAUUUUAUAUAUAUAUAUAUAUAUAUAUAUAUAUAUAUAUAUAUAUAUAUAUAUAUAUAUAUAUAUAUAUAAUUAACUAUAAACUUGCACAAUUAUUUUACUAUAUAUUAAAACAUUUGAAAAAAACACGGUAGAAAUACUAUAGAUUUACUGUAAACAAAGACACAUUGCCCUGUGGAAGAAACUGUGUCAUAGAGUAUUUGCACUGUGGACAACACUGUUGUACCAUGGGGCAUUCCUUUCCUUUGUUUUUAGUCAAUAAUUACGGGUGGGGGUGUGACCUUCUCUACCAAAAGCCGCUGGGUUUGACUUUGGUAGCCGGACCCAACGCUGUUGUGUUUGGUUGACAAGUUAGACCUAAAACACUUCCAAAACAUGCCAAUAAUGUUGAGUCCUGCAUUCCAGCCAAACCCAACAGAGUAUUUGACUGUGAACACAUAAUGUUCGACUGUGGACGACACUGUAGCGCCUGUGGGGGGGCGUUGUCUUUUCUGUUUGUAAGUCAGAAAGGCUUGCUGGGUCGUUGCAGCAGGACCUAAUAGCUUUGGGUCCUGCUUCCACUAGGACCUAAUGGCGUUGGGUCUUGCUGGAACCAUUAGAGUUGGGUCCUGCCUCAAUAGGACCCAUGACUAUAAUUUUUUCCCUUUUUCAUACGGGUAUGGCUGCGUAGCCAGACCCAGCAGCCAUACCCAAUUAAAUUUCUUGGCCGUUGUCUUCUUUGAUUUAAAUUUAUUUUUCAAAAUAAAUUGAUUGUACUGUGGACAACACUAUAGCAUUUUCCCAGAUCAAUCCUAGCUUUAUCAUCUACACACGCACGCACAUGCACUUUUUUCCUUUUUUGACAAGGAAUUAAAGUUAAUCAAUGCAAGAAAGUAGUAAGAUCACUGACAUCGGCAUAGGAAGAUUGUAAAAAAAAAAUUGAUUUCCUUCGGUGGAUGGAUUGGGAAUCCAUAUUAUCACGUACGUGAGAAUUCAAUCCCCCAUGCCUCUCUAUGCCUAUGUACAUCGUAAAUAUAUACAUUUUCUUCACUAUAGUAUAACACCACCAUUGAAUAUAAUGGAAGACCAUUGAUCAAUAAGGACGACUGGCUUCCAGACCUGGAGCCAUACCUAAUUAAAUUUCUUUGUUGUUGCCUUCUUUGACUUAAAUUUAUUUCUCAAAAUAAAUUGAUGAAUUUUUUUUUAUAUUGUAUAAAAGUUAGGUGAUGAUAAUUUUUUUCCCCAUUUCAGAUUGGGUUGAAUUUCCUAAUUAAAUCAUGUUUGAUUUUGCGUUUCGAAAAUUCUUUGAAAAAAAUUUGACAAUUUUUAAGUUUUUUUCUUUGCUUCAAAUUAAUAUUUUUGUUAUGUUUUUGUAUUUUUUUUAAAAUAUAUAUGUUGAGAUUUUGUCUAGCUGCGACGCCAAACCCAAUAAAUUUUUUUAUUUUUUUUACUUCAAAAUAAUAUUUUCUUCAUGUUUUUGUAUUAUUUUUAAAUAAUUUUUUUUAAAAAAAAUAUUGAGAUUGUAGACGGUUGAGAGGUGAGAAACAAGAAAUUUAAAAAAUUUUAAUUUUUUUCUUUACUUUAAAUUAAUAUUCUUUCGAUAUUUUUGUAUUAUUUUUAAAAAAAUUAUACUGAAAUUAGAUCUGAUUGCGUUGUAUCCUGCCUUCCAGCAUGACCCAAAAAUGUUGGCCCCCUACUUGCAGGAGGACCCAAUGCUUAAUUGGGCCCUACUGCCUCCAUGCCCAACAUCGUUGGGGGCUUUUGCAACCAGGAUCCAAUUACGGUGGGCUCGGCCUCCUAGCAGGACCCAAUAUGCGUUGCCAGCAUGGGUGAUUAGGUCCUUUCCGCUAAGGGAACUUGAUUGUGCAGCAGGCAUCGAAAACACAAGCUCAGUAGCAAUUCAUUUUAGCAACUAAACAGGCUAUAAACAAGCCUAUAAGCCCUUUUUUCUUUGAAAGAGAGAGAUUCAUACUUAUCAAUAUUACAAGGGAAAGAAAAGCUCUGAAACUGAAAAGGGAUAUCCUGAUUUCAUUGCCUACUUGAUUGCUUUCUAAAUAGGAUGUGCAUUUCUCCUAGAACCAGCUGGCUUACGGGCUUACAAGGAACCAAAAAUACUUGGAAGUCACACUUUAAUAGGCACUGAAAUUAGAUUUCUUUGAUUUAAAUUCAUUUUUCCAAAUAAAUUGAUGGGACUUUUAUUAUAUUGACCAAAACUUGAGUGAUGAUUUUUUUUUUCGUUUCAGGUUGGGUUGAAUUUUCUAAUUAAAUUAUGUUUGAUUUUGCGUUUCAAAAAUUCUUUUAAAAAAAUUUGAUAAUUUUUAAUUUUUUUCUUUACUUCAAAUUAAUAUUUUUUUUUAUGUUUUUGUAUUAUUUUUUUUAAAAAAAUAUGUUGAGAUUGUCUCUGACUCGAAGCCCGACCCAAGAAAUUUUAAAAUUUUAAUUUUUUUCUUUACUUCAAAAUAAUAUUUUUUAUAUAUAUUUUUGUAGUAUUUUUAAAAUAUAUUUUCUAAAAAAAUAUAUUGAGAUUGUGUCUGGAUGAGAGGGAAGACCCAAGAAAUUUAAUUUUUUUUCUUUACAUCAAAUUAAUAUUCUUUUGAUACUUUUGUAUUAUGUUUUCAAAUAUUAUUUAAAAAAAUAUGCUAAGAUUAAGUCUAGCUGUGUCACCAGACCCGUGGCAGUAGUGGGCCCUACCUAUAAGCAGGACCCACCGCUACUGGGUCCUUCUCCCAAGCAUGACCCAAUGAUGUUGGGCCAUGCUGCCCAGCAGCGGUGGGCCGUCCUCCAAGACCCAUUAGCUUUGGGUCCUGCAGCCAGCAUGACCCAUCAAAAAGCAUUGGGUCCUGCUGGGGGCAGGACCCAGUAAACCAAUAUUGUAAUGUGUUUUUCCUUUCUCUUAUUUUUUUUCAUAGGGUAAAGAGGAAAUAUUAUUAUUAUAUUAUUGUUAUUGUUAUUAUUAAUAAAUUCAAAGAAAAAAAAAUUAUUACGAUCGAAGAAAAAACAUAAAUUUUAUUUAAAGAGAUUAAAAAAUAUAAAAACUUGGGUUAGACAAGUUUAACAUUAUUAUUAAUAUUACAAAUAUUAUUAUUUGUAUUAUAAAUAUUAUUAUUUUUAUUACAGGUAAUAUUAUUAAUAUAAUAAUUAAUAAAUUUGAAAACAAAUAUCAUUAAUAUUGAAAAAUAACCAUUGAUUUGAUUUGAAAGUUAAAAUUAAAAAUCAUUUUUAUUUUUAUUAAGUUGGGUUUGACAUCCCCUUCUAAACCCGAGAAACUUGGGGCAGGAAAGGGACACAUGAUCGAAGUUGCUUGGGAGAGGCAGGAGCGCGGAUCCAAGUCCCUCGGAUCUUGCAGCCGCGCCUGACCCAACAUACUUGGGUUAGACGUUUGGAGCCAAGCUUGGAUCUGGCUGCAACGCUAGACCCAAGAGCGUUGGGUCUAGCCGAAAGGACGGACCCCAAGCUCAGGGGUCUUCCUUUUUAAACAGACCCAAUGCUCUUGUGAGCAGGACCCACUAAAGUUGGAACAUGCUGCCACCAGAACCUAGCAGCGGUGGCCCUGCUGCCAGCCUCCCCUGCCCAGCACGACCCAACGUUGUUGGGUCCUUCAAUCAAGCAUGACCUAAUGAUGUUAGGCCCAAAUGGGUACCCAGCUGCUAGGUCAUUUUGUCGAGCAUGAUCCAAUGAUGUUGUAACUUUAAUGGGUUCGGAUUGAAGUUAGACUCAAUGCUCUUGGAUCCGACAUUUAUAAGGGGUGCAAAGCUCUUGGGCCCGACAUUUAUAAAGGGUGCAAAGCUCUUGGGCCUGAUGUUGCAGACAGACCCACUUACUCUUUGAUAAGUUUAAUAUUGAUAUGAAUAUUAAAAAUAUUAUUAUUUGUAUUAGGAAUAUUAUUAUUAUUUUUAUUAUAAUUAACAUAGUAAUUAACAAAUUUGAAAAACAAAUUUUAUAUUGAAAAACAACUUACAAAUUUAAUAAAGGGUAAACUUAAAAAUUAUUAUUAUUAUUAUCAUCAUCAUCAUCAUCAUCAUCAUUAUUAUCAUUAAAUGUUUUUAAAAAAUGGAAGAAAAACCAUAAUUGUUUUGUGAAUAGAUUAAAAAAAAAUAAAAACUUGGGUCAGACAAGUUAUAUAUUAUUAUUAAUAUUAUUAUAAAUAUAUAUUUUUAAAAAAAUAUAUUAAGAUUGUGUAUGGCUGAGAGGUGAGACUCAAGAAAUUUUAAAAUUUUUAUUUUUUUCUUUACUUCAAAUUAAUAUUCUUUUCAUAUUUUUGUAUUUUUUCUAAAAAAUUAUACUUAUUAUAUAUUAUAUUAUAUAUGUAUAUAUUUUUAUUUACUAUAUUAAAACGCGUUAUCUUUGUUGUUUGUGAGUAAAAAAUUACAGCUGGGUUGAUGGAUCCUGCUAUCACUAGGAUCCAAUAGCGUGAGGUCCUGUUGCGAGCAGGAUCCCAUUGGCGUGAGGUUCUGUUGCCAGCAGGAUCCCAUGGUGUUGGGUCCUCUAGGCCCCAUUAGUGUUGGGUUGGGUCCUCUAGGCCCCAUUAGUGUUGGGUCCUGCAAGACCCAUCAGCUUUGGGUCCUUCGGCAAGCAAGACCCAUCAAAAAAUAUUGGUCCUGCCACUAGUAGAACCCAAUACUACAAUGUGUUUUUUUUUUCUUCUAUUUUUUUUUCUCAAAGGGUAAAGAGGAAAUAUUAUUAUUAUAUUAUUCUUAUUGUUAUUUUUAUCAUUAAUAAAUUCAAAGGAAAAAAAAUUAUUACUAUUGAAGAAAAACCAUAAAUUUUAUUUGAAGAGAUUAAAAAAUAUAAAAACUUGGGUCAGGCAAGUUUAACAUUAUUAUUAAUAUUCUAAAUAUUAUUAUUUUUAUUAUAAUUAAUAUUAUUAAUAUAAUAAUUAAUAAAUUUGAAAACAAAUAUUAUUAAUAUUGAAAAACAACCAUAGAUUUGAUUUGAAGAGUAAAAUUAAAAAUUAUUAUUAUUAUCAUCAUUAAUAAAUUUGAAAAACAAUAUUAUUACUAUCAAAGAAAAAUAAUAAAUUUUAUUUGAAGGGAUUAAAAACUAUAAAAACUUGGGCCAAAUAAAUUUAAUAUUAUUAUUAACAUUAUAAAUUUUAUUAAAUUCAUUAAUAUAUUAAAUUUGCAAUGAAUUUUAUUACUAUUUUAAAAAACAUAGAUUUGAUUUGAAGGGUAAAAUCAAUUAUUAUUAUUAUUAUCAUCUAUGCCAAGAAGAUGGUUAUAAGUAGGCUUUGGGUGCGGCUCUGCAGCCAGACCUAAAGAUAUUAGGUGAGGCUGCACACCCACACCCAUAUUUAUUAGGUGUUGCUCCGCAGCUACACCCAACUUUACACCCAAUAGAUAAACCUAAUUGGGCUGGGUCCUCCUGCCAACUUUUACACCCAACAGCAGGACCCAAUUGGGUUUGGUCCUGCUGCCAGCAGGAUCCAACAACUAUCAACGUUGGGUCAAGUACCCAGUAGGACCCAAAAGCUUUGGGUCUGGCGCAGCGAGACCCAUCGAUGAUGGGUUCUGCUGCCAAUUGAAUCUAUCAGCGUUGGGUCCUGCUAAUCGGCAGGGCCCAUAAGUUGUGAGCCUUUCUGUUAGGCCCAAUGCUAUUGGAUCUGGCUUGCGCUGGACCCAAGACACUUAAAAGAUUCUCUACAUUUGACAAAAAAAUUGUUAUUGACACGCUGCAGAACGCAGACUAAUAUGCUAGAUAUCAAACUAUAGCGUGUGUACUGGAUUCCUAUGGAAAUUAUUUUUUAUAUAAAAAUAUAAUAAAAUAAUAUUUUUUAUAAAUUAUAAAUUAUUUUUUUAUAUUAAAAUUUAAAAUGAUUAAAAAAUAAAAAAUUGUUUUGAAAAAAACAAUUCAUAUUCUAAAAAACACAGUUUAAAAGCUACUAGAUGCCAUGCCUGCGCGAUGUCGCGGGCUUGUGCAUUGUUGUGGGUUUGUGGAAAAAAUCAUAACAAAAAAAAAAAACCAUAUGGAGAAAAAUUGUUGCAAUCCACAACGUUUUCAAGGAAAAAACUACAAAGCUAAAUCUCAACCAGCUUAAUAUUAAAAAAAUAAAAUCGACAAAGAUAAUUUUUAAAAAAAUCAUAAGAAAAAAAAAACGAAAUGAAAAAAAAUCAUGCAGGGAAACACUAUAGCAAUCUAUAGUGUUCAAUGAGGAAAUCUACUGUUGUAAUUCUCAACCAGCUCAAUAUUAAAAAUAAUAAAAUCGAUAAAGAUUGUCAUAACCCAAUUCUGGGUUAUUCCCCAAAAUUCACUUUUUUUUCAAAAUAAAAAAAUAAAAAUAAAUAAAGGCUGGCAACGUGGAGAAAGCAAGCCGGGAAAUCAAGCUGCAAUUUUUGGAGGAAAUUCAAGGCCUAAUUGUACCCCAUUAUGCCCCAAAAUAUAGAAAAAAUGCAAAUUCAAGGUCAAAUUAAAUGAUUAUUGGAAGAAUUUGCAUAAAAAUUAAGUCCAAUGACAUAAUUAAAUUUUUAAUAGGCCAAUUUGAUUUAAUCAUGGGUCAAAUUAAAUUUUAAUUAUGUUUAAGAAUUAAUUUGGGUCAAAUUAAAGGAUUUAAUUAAGUGCAAGGACUUAAUUAUACUUUAAAUGGGUCAAAUUAAUUUUAUUUGGGGCUUAAUUGGUGAAAAAUUAAGUUUGGGAGCCUAAUUUAGACUUAAUUGAGAAGAUUGGAAUUUUAAGAGAAAAUUUAAUUUUUUCCAAGUUAAUUGAUUGAAAUUAGGGAUCAAAUUGCAAGAAAAUUAAAGUUUUGGGGUCAAUUAGGGGUUAAAUUGAAGAAAUCCGAGAACAGGGACCAAUAUGCAACAGGCGACAAACUAUGAGGAUUCAAUUGACAAAACCCAGGGGUGAAAUUGAAGAAAUUGAAAGUUUAAUGGUCAAUUAGGGGUUAAAUUGACAAAAUCCGAGACCAUGGACCAUAUUGUAAACGGCGCGUAACUUCGGGGUUCCAAUUAAAAUUAAGUAGGGGCUUAAUUGCAUUAAAUCCAAAGUUUAUAGCCAAUUAGGGGUUCAAUUGAAAGAAAUUGAAAGCUUGAGGACUAAAUUGAAAAUCAAUUUAAAUCCCUGGUAUAACCUAAAACGGCGCCGUUUUAUAUUAAAAAAAAAGAGGACCAGACGACGCGUCGUCUGGUCACUGUUCAUUGUCUUCUUCUUUCACAUGAAAAAAACUGCUUUGGAGCCUUACUUACAGGUUCAUUUAUUGCUUGAUUUCUCCAUCAAAUCAAACACAACUUGCACGAAACGGAUCCCCUACAGUUCCUCUACAACCCCAUGUGAACGUUGCAGGAUGAAUGACAACACGGCGUCACCGGGGACGGCGUGAAGAGGUCAAUGCAGGCAGCCUUUUUCCUGCAGAUUUGACAACUCAGGGAGGCUACUUUGAACCAACGGUUGGGAUCCUUCCCAACAUAAUCAAGGGCUGAAAUUUUUUCCCGGUAUAGACAAGAUUGCCCUCUUCCACCGCCUAUAAAUAGAGGCGGAGUUGAUGGCCUGAUGGAGGAGAAAAUCGAGUCCAAAGUUGACAAAAAAACCAGCCUCCUCCCCAGUUUUUUUUUUCUUUUUCUGCAACAAGUCUCUCUCUCUACACUCUCUCUCACCAUGCUCUCAGCGACUCCAAGCCACGCUGCCACCAGUUCGUCUUCCACCCUCUCCACCACACUUAUUCCUCUCCACCGAAAGCACCUUCUUUUUCCUCCACAACGACAGCAGCCCAUCAACACCAUCAUUUUCAUUUUCUUUCUUCUCCAGUAUCGGCAGCAGCAACACCGACUCCACCACAGACGCCGCCACCAGCUUCAGGGCGACUACUCGGACCACCUCCAACCUCACUCCAGGUCGGUGACAUCAACUGCUUCUCCCCCCGCAAGGUUGCCUCCCGCUCCACUCCGCGGGCUGCAACUGCAAAGUUGCAUAUAGAACGUGAACUUACUGUUCACGUUCUGCACAUAAUUCAUUUCACUUGGGUCAGGCCAGUUCUGGCCCAGACCAAAUGUUUGGGUCGGGUCCGGCCCCCAAAAAGGAGAGAAAGAAAGUAUGUUGGGCCGAUAUCGGCCCAAUCUUUUUGGGGCCUAUAUCGGCCCACUGUUUCUGGGUUUAUGUCUGGCCCAGUCAUCUGGGCCGGCCCAGCCCACCUGUUUUAAUAAUAUUUAUUUAAUAAAUAAUAUUAUAUUAUAUAUUUCUUUUAAAAAAAAAAACGAAAAAUUCCAAAAAAAUUUCAAAAAUCCUUUGAAAAAAAUUGUGAUUUUCUCAAAUAUUUUUUUUACCAAUUUUGCAUAAUAUUGGGUUGUAUAUUUACACUGUAAAAUACAAAUCAUGUAUUAAAAUACCUGGUUUUCUUUGAAAUAUUUCAAAAAAAAGAAAAUUAAAACAUUCUCAAAAAGAAAAAAUAUUUUAUUGCAUACGGCCAAAUCCUAAAAUUUUUCCAAGCAUAUUUUUCAUAUAAAAAAACGAAAACAAAAAUUGCAUCUUUUUGAUGUUUAAAAAAUCCAAAAAUGGAUAUCGUAACCAAUUUAUGAUUAUCCACUAGGAUUUGGUCAACAUGUCAAAAACCUUUUUCUAAUUUUUUUAGGGUCCAGAUGUAGACUUUAAUAUUUAUGGGUGUAAAAUUACACGAUAAAAUACACCCUCAAGUAUUAAAGAUACAAGGUGUAAAAAUACGAUGCUAAAAUUCAGACUUUAAAACUGUUAGGAUUUAACCCAAUAAGGUAGAGACUUUCUCAUGAAGAGAGAUUUGCCUUGAGCCUUAGAAAAGACCAACGAAUAGAAACCCAACUUGGAAAAAAACAAUCAAACAAUAAUGCAGCUUACCUUAAGUAGGGUGCAUUAGGGGUGAUGCAUCUUCCCCUUGCACAACCAGUCCCUUACUCAGACUCUCGCAGACCAUAGGUUCCUAGUGACCAUAAUACUAGGUGGUGACUCCUGAAUCUUAAUCAUAAUUUUAUGAUUAAAUCCAAAAAAAUCUUCCUAACACACAACACACCUCACAUAGGAGGCACGACAGAAAGCCUUCUUUGUCGCCAGACGACAUCGCACCGGCUCUUGCGCAUCCUGCGACAAAGAUAAUUUAAAAAAAAAACCAUAAUAAAAAAAUUAUGUGGGAAAAGACUGUAACAAUCCACAGUUAAAAAAAAAAAAAACUAAAUUUCUAACCAGCUUAAUAUAUAUAUAAAAAAAAAAAAAGUCUUCGGUGGCGAUUGAUAGCUAUGCGAUGAACUACUCAAAAUGCUAGAACAAUUGCAAAUCCCAGUUGCUAUGUAAUGGAACUUCCAGGCUAAGGCUCCUUUAAAUUACCUGCACGCCCGGCCUAGGAAAUUAUUAUUCUAAUUAUUCAACGACGACUUCAAGACUUGGCUGGCGUCGGGUGAUGACGAAGACAUUAUGACGUAGGUCUGCUGAAGUGGACCAAGUGUUCCAUGACAAUGCUGACUUCAGUUAUUUUUUAAUAUAUUUUUUUAAAAAUACAUCAAAAUAAUAUUUAUUAUUUUUUAAAAUUAAUUUUUGAUUUUAGUACAUUAAAAUAAUUUAAAAAUAUCAAAAAAAUAUAAAAUUUUUAAAAAACAUGAUUUAAUUGGAAAAAAAAAACAAAACCUCCUAGGGCUGUUUUAUUAUUAUCCUCGUUCCUCGAACUGUCUAAAUUAACAAGGAUACCCGCACUGCCUAAUUUCCCGGUCGUCAACGGUGGCGCCUCAUUCGAUAAUGGGGUAUCCUUUGGUAGGGCUGUUUUGUUUUAUUGUUAACUUUGUUUAGAAUUUUUCUUAUCAACCUGGUGGGGCCGGCCAUUGAGAAGUGGGUCUAGAAAAUUUGAUGCUGUCGAGAAAGGCCGUAGAUUCUAAACUUCGAUCUUAUCCAUGGAAUUAUAAAAAACAAUUAUUAAUUCAUGCACAUCAAAAAAGAUUCUAUAAGAUAAUAAUAAAGGCGAGGAGGUUGGCACAUACACGCGCGAGACCACGAAGCAACGUUGUUGGCUUUUGCUACCAGAAAAUGGAAAUCCAGUUAUACUUUACAGAUCAACUAAUGAUUUCACGAGAAUUAAGAAGGAAAGCAUUAAAUUUAUGGAAAUCUUUUCUUGGCAUGUGAGGGGAACGAGUCAGCAGUCUGGGUACAGUUGUUGGCUUUUGCUAACUUCUCCUGGCUAGCCAUUAAUCCUAUCCGUCUUUGGCCUCUCGUGAACAUGCGUUCUUUUUUAAAAAUAUUUUUUAUUUAAAAAUUAUUUUGGAUAUUAAUUUAUCAAAAUAAUCUGAAAAUAUUAAAAAAAAUUAAUUUUAAAAAAAUUAAAAUUAAAAUUUUAUUAAAAAUACUUUUAAAAUACAAAAACAAACACUAUAUAUAUAUAUAUAUAUAUAUAUAUAUAUAUAUAUAUAUAUAUAUAUAUAUAUAUAUAUGUUCUUCCACCAAAACAGGAUCCACCCUCUAGAACCCUUCAAAUAACUGCCAUGAACCCAAUUUCCACUUGCUCGAUUUCAUUUAUCAAGGACAUAUCAGUUACGAAAGAAAUGACAUUUCUAUUGGAUGGAUUUGUCUUGCUUAGCUCUGAGUUUAGAGUAAUGCUGCUUUCUUGAUUCUGAAAUCCGUCUCAACAGGUAAUGUGAGAAGGCAAAGAGGGGGGAAGAAGACUAUCCAGUUGCUUGGAUUGGACACUCUUGUUCCUUUUACGGUGGAGAUAGAAAGGUUUCAUAGUAUAAUGUUGCUUAAGUCACAAUCAGCCCUCUUUUUUUUUUAAUCUGCAAAACAAUUACAGGAAUAUUUGCACCAGAGGUGAAGCUGCUGCUGCUUCAUCCAGCCAGAAAGAAACAAAGAGAGUGGCACAAUGGAACCAUGCAUGCCACCUCUUCCCAAUUUUUUGACAGGACUGAUAAGCAUUUUCCUCUACGAAUGACGAAAACCUCAUAACAAGUGAUGGAGAUUUGAGAACAACAAGCAACCAUGGAUUCCCAAGUUUCAAAUGGGUCACAGGAUUCACAUAAACUUAGCCAAUCCGGUUAUUUAUUUUUGGUAUCGAAAUACAGGACAUGAAAAUCCUUCAGCAACACACCUCUUAAUUACAUAUCAAUAACAGGAAAGACAUCCACAUCUUCACACACAUGCAACAAACACCUUACAUCGCACGCUUCUUAUAGCAGAAAGCCCAUAAAACCAGAUACAAAGAGCGCUUGCCCGCUUAAGCUCUGCGGCACACAUCUCCAUCGCAGUUCCAUCCUUCCUUUCCCUUUGCCUUCUCCUCAAGCUCCUCCUCCAUUUGCUUUAGAUGUUCCUCGGUAAAUGGAAAAGCAUCUGCCCCGUAAGCUGUCAAGUGCAUCCGAGCUUCCUUGGUAAUGGUCCGGCCACUUGGGCCAAUCGCUACAGCUGCAGGAAUGCCUUGAAUUUUGAAUUUCCGACUCAGGAUUUGUUUCCUUUCAUCACCAAAUGGAAGGGCUAACCAAGGCAUUUCUGAAUAGAACUCGUCAAAGGUGGAUUGAUCUCUGUCGCUUGAGAUGAAGAUCACCUCAAAUGCGUUGUCUUUUCUUUUAAUUGUGUGGUAUGCUUCAAUUAGCUUGGGUAAAAAGGCACGACAAGGAGGGCACCAUUGAGCUGAGAAGUAAAGAAGAAUGUUCUUUCCAACUAGAUCGGACACU
Molecule: long non-coding RNA, 26824 nt
Filed under: Populus trichocarpa (black cottonwood)
Lineage: Eukaryota; Viridiplantae; Streptophyta; Magnoliopsida; Malpighiales; Salicaceae
Description: long non-coding RNA (PTRI_LNC002468)
Source: RNAcentral